UCCUUUUGCUUUGCCGCCGUCCAUGAUGCUAGUGUUUCCGAGUCCUCGGGGUGCAUCAUAGCUUCUUUCUACAAGCUCCCAAAGGUCUUUAGAAAUGAAUAGAGUCUUCAUUUGAAGGCUCCGAUAAUCAUAGUUUUCUCCAUAAAAAAUAGGGACAAGAUUUUGUGAAUAGUUGAAUAAAGAUGAUGAAGAUGAUUGUGUUGCCAUGGUGGUUUGUAAUGGAACACAAGGCUAAACCCGNNNNN
This 245-nucleotide long non-coding RNA is filed under the name Nicotiana benthamiana. Its description in RNAcentral is "long non-coding RNA (NBEN_LNC022658)". The record is from RNAcentral. Lineage: Eukaryota; Viridiplantae; Streptophyta; Magnoliopsida; Solanales; Solanaceae.